Molecule: ribosomal RNA, 551 nt
Filed under: uncultured bacterium
Lineage: Bacteria
Description: partial 16S ribosomal RNA
Rfam family: Bacterial small subunit ribosomal RNA
Source: RNAcentral
UAGGGAAUCUUCCACAAUGGACGCAAGUCUGAUGGAGCAACGCCGCGUGAGUGAAGAAGGUUUUCGGACCGUAAAGCUCUGUUGUUGGUGAAGAAGGAUAGAGGUAGUAACUGGCCUUUAUUUGACGGUAAUCAACCAGAAAGUCACGGCUAACUACGUGCCAGCAGCCGCGGUAAUACGUAGGUGGCAAGCGUUGUCCGGAUUUAUUGGGCGUAAAGCGAGCGCAGGCGGAAGAAUAAGUCUGAUGUGAAAGCCCUCGGCUUAACCGAGGAAUUGCAUCGGAAACUGUUUUCUUGAGUGCAGAAGAGGAGAGUGGAACUCCAUGUGUAGCGGUGGAAUGCGUAGAUAUAUGGAAGAACACCAGUGGCGAAGGCGGCUCUCUGGUCUGCAACUGACGCUGAGGCUCGAAAGCAUGGGUAGCGAACAGGAUUAGAUACCCUGGUAGUCCAUGCCGUAAACGAUGAGUGCUAAGUGUUGGGAGGUUUCCGCCUCUCAGUGCUGCAGCUAACGCAUUAAGCACUCCGCCUGGGGAGUACGGCCGCAAGGUUGAA